RNAcentral lists this transfer-messenger RNA (124 nucleotides) under Tistrella mobilis. Its description in RNAcentral is "partial transfer-messenger RNA". It matches the Rfam family "Alphaproteobacteria transfer-messenger RNA", at positions 1 to 119 of the family's 355-position model. From Rfam's summary of the family: Bacterial tmRNA, also known as 10Sa RNA or SsrA, is named for its dual tRNA and mRNA-like properties. Its role is to liberate the mRNA from a stalled ribosome. To accomplish this part of the tmRNA is used as a reading frame that ends in a translation stop signal. Lineage: Bacteria; Pseudomonadati; Pseudomonadota; Alphaproteobacteria; Geminicoccales; Geminicoccaceae. The record is from RNAcentral.
GGGCUUUGCAUGUCACGGCCGAGGGCCUAUAUAUGGGGUGCCGGUCGCAAGGCCGGCUAUGGCGAUACAGGGCCUCACGGAAUAAUCGUAUCGGACCCGGGGGCAGUGCCCGGCGCCUCCACCA